Molecule: transfer RNA, 67 nt
Filed under: Staphylinidae sp. BMNH 1274248
Lineage: Eukaryota; Metazoa; Arthropoda; Insecta; Coleoptera; Staphylinidae
Description: tRNA-Cys
Source: RNAcentral
AGCUUUAUAGUCAAAAUAUGAAUGACACUAAAUUGCAAAUUUAGUAGUAGGGGUUUCCUUAAGGCUU